RNAcentral lists this ribosomal RNA (1374 nucleotides) under uncultured beta proteobacterium. Its description in RNAcentral is "bacterial SSU rRNA". It matches the Rfam family "Bacterial small subunit ribosomal RNA", at positions 27 to 1395 of the family's 1533-position model. The record is from RNAcentral. Lineage: Bacteria; Pseudomonadati; Pseudomonadota; Betaproteobacteria.
GAUUGAACGCUGGCGGCAUGCCUUACACAUGCAAGUCGAACGGCAGCAUGAUCUAGCUUGCUAGAUUGAUGGCGAGUGGCGAACGGGUGAGUAAUACAUCGGAACGUGCCCUGUAGUGGGGGAUAACUAGUCGAAAGAUUAGCUAAUACCGCAUACGACCUGAGGGUGAAAGUGGGGGACCGCAAGGCCUCAUGCUAUAGGAGCGGCCGAUGUCUGAUUAGCUAGUUGGUGAGGUAAAGGCUCACCAAGGCGACGAUCAGUAGCUGGUCUGAGAGGACGAUCAGCCACACUGGGACUGAGACACGGCCCAGACUCCUACGGGAGGCAGCAGUGGGGAAUUUUGGACAAUGGGGGCAACCCUGAUCCAGCAAUGCCGCGUGUGUGAAGAAGGCCUUCGGGUUGUAAAGCACUUUUGUCCGGAAAGAAAUCGCACUUACUAAUAUUAGGUGUGGAUGACGGUACCGGAAGAAUAAGGACCGGCUAACUACGUGCCAGCAGCCGCGGUAAUACGUAGGGUCCAAGCGUUAAUCGGAAUUACUGGGCGUAAAGCGUGCGCAGGCGGUUGUGCAAGACCGAUGUGAAAUCCCCGGGCUUAACCUGGGAAUUGCAUUGGUGACUGCACGGCUAGAGUGUGUCAGAGGGGGGUAGAAUUCCACGUGUAGCAGUGAAAUGCGUAGAGAUGUGGAGGAAUACCGAUGGCGAAGGCAGCCCCCUGGGAUAACACUGACGCUCAUGCACGAAAGCGUGGGGAGCAAACAGGAUUAGAUACCCUGGUAGUCCACGCCCUAAACGAUGUCAACUAGUUGUUGGGGAUUCAUUUCCUUAGUAACGUAGCUAACGCGUGAAGUUGACCGCCUGGGGAGUACGGUCGCAAGAUUAAAACUCAAAGGAAUUGACGGGGACCCGCACAAGCGGUGGAUGAUGUGGAUUAAUUCGAUGCAACGCGAAAAACCUUACCUACCCUUGACAUGCCACUAACGAAGCAGAGAUGCAUUAGGUGCUCGAAAGAGAAAGUGGACACAGGUGCUGCACGGCUGUCGUCAGCUCGUGUCGUGAGAUGUUGGGUUAAGUCCCGCAACGAGCGCAACCCUUGUCUCUAGUUGCUACGAAAGGGCACUCUAGAGAGACUGCCGGUGACAAACCGGAGGAAGGUGGGGAUGACGUCAAGUCCUCAUGGCCCUUAUGGGUAGGGCUUCACACGUCAUACAAUGGUGCAUACAGAGGGUUGCCAAGCCGCGAGGUGGAGCUAAUCCCAGAAAAUGCAUCGUAGUCCGGAUCGUAGUCUGCAACUCGACUACGUGAAGCUGGAAUCGCUAGUAAUCGCGGAUCAGCAUGCCGCGGUGAAUACGUUCCCGGGUCUUGUACUCACCGCCC